GCCCACUUGGCUAAGUGGUUUAAAGCGCAGCACUUGUAUAUUGAAGCACAUGCUGAGAUCACUCGUUCAACUCGGGUAGUGGGCA
This is a non-coding RNA of Mycena crocata, 85 nucleotides long. The record is from the annotation of a GenBank genome assembly. NCBI's taxonomy places the organism in Eukaryota, Fungi, Basidiomycota, Agaricomycetes, Agaricales, Mycenaceae.